AGUGCGUUAAUGGCUCUAGACAUAUAGGGCGCGACGAUUACCGUAAGCGGUUCGAGGAAUGUCAGUCACUUGACUGAGACCCGUCAGACCUACGGAGCAGCAGUGGGAAUAUGACAAUGGGCGCAGGCUGAUGCAGCAUGCGCGUGUAUGAGAGUCUCGGAUGUAAAGCUACUUUCAGUGAGAGAAGGCAGUGAAGUAAUAACCUGCAGCUGAUUGACGUUACUAGCAGAAUGAAGCACGGCUAACUCGUGCCAGCAGCCGCGGUAAUACGGAGGGUGCAAGCGUAAUCGGAAUUACUGGGCGUAAAGCGCACGUCAGGUCGGUCUGGUAAGAUCAGAUUGGAAAUCCCCGGGCUCAACCUGGGAACUGCAUUCAGAAACUGGCAGGCUUGAGUCUGUAGAGGGGGGUAGAAUUUCCAGGUGUAGCGGUGAAAUGCGUAGAGAUCUGGAGGAAUACCGGUGGCGAAGGCGGCCACCUGGACAAAGACUGACGCUCAGGUGCGAAAGCGUGGGGAGCAAACAGGAUUAGAUACCCUGGUAGUCCACGCUGUAAACGAUGUCGACUAGGAGGUUGUUUCCUUGAGGAGUGGCUUCCGGAGCUAACGCGAUAAGUCGACCGCCUGGGGAGUACGGCCGCAAGGUUAAAACUCAAAUGAAUUGACGGGGGCCCGCACAAGCGGUGGAGCAUGUGGUUUAAUUCGAUGCAACGCGAAGAACCUUACCUACUCUUGACAUCCAGAGAACUUAGCAGAGAUGCGAGGGUGCCUUCGGGAAUUGUGAGACAGGUGCUGCAUGGCUGUCGUCAGCUCGUGUUGUGAAAUGUUGGGUUAAGUCCCGCAACGAGCGCAACCCUUAUCCUUUGUUGCCAGCGGUUCGGCCGGGAACUCAAAGGAGACUGCCAGUGAUAAACCGGAGGAAGGUGGGGAUGACGUCAAGUCAUCAUGGCCCUUACGAGUAGGGCUACACACGUGCUACAAUGGCAUAUACAAAGAGAAGCACCUCGCGAGAGCAAGCGGUCCUCAUAAAGUAUGUCGUAGUCCGGAUUGGAGUCUGCAACUCGACUCCAUGAAGUCGGAAUCGCUAGUAAUCGUAGAUCAGAAUUCUACGGUGAAUACGUUCCCGGGCCUUGUACACACCGCCCGUCACACCAUGGGAGUGGGUGGCAAAAGAAUUAGUUAGCUUAACGCUACAGGAGGGCGCUAACCACUAUGAUCAGUUUCC
RNAcentral lists this ribosomal RNA (1220 nucleotides) under Klebsiella ornithinolytica. RNAcentral's name for it is "bacterial SSU rRNA". It matches the Rfam family "Bacterial small subunit ribosomal RNA", at positions 239 to 1476 of the family's 1533-position model. The record is from RNAcentral. Lineage: Bacteria; Pseudomonadati; Pseudomonadota; Gammaproteobacteria; Enterobacterales; Enterobacteriaceae.